This 752-nucleotide ribosomal RNA is filed under the name uncultured Sulfobacillus sp. RNAcentral's name for it is "bacterial SSU rRNA". It matches the Rfam family "Bacterial small subunit ribosomal RNA", at positions 37 to 808 of the family's 1533-position model. The record is from RNAcentral. Lineage: Bacteria; Bacillati; Bacillota; Clostridia; Eubacteriales; Clostridiales Family XVII. Incertae Sedis.
AGGGGGGGCGUGCGUAUACAUGCAAGUCGAGCGGACCUUCGGGUCAGCGGCGGACGGGUGAGGAACACGUGAGUGAUCUAUCGAUGAGUGGGGGAUAUCGGGCCGAAAGGCGCGGCAAUCCCGCAUACGUUCCUACGGGAAGAAAGCUGGGCAACUGGCGCUCAUUGCGGAGCUCGCGGCCCAUUAGCUAGUUGGGGGGGUAACGGCCUCCCAAGGCGACGAUGGGUAGCCGGCCUGAGAGGGUGAACGGCCACACUGGGACUGAGACACGGCCCAGACUCCUACGGGAGGCAGCAGUAGGGAAUCUUCCACAAUGGGCGCAAGCCUGAUGGAGCAACGCCGCGUGAGUGAAGACGGCCUUCGGGUUGUAAAGCUCUGUCUGUCGGGACGAAGACCGGGACGGGAGUCCCGGGGAGCCGGUACCGACGAAGGAAGCCCCUGCAAACUACGUGCCAGCAGCCGCGGUAAGACGUAGGGGGCAAGCGUUGUCCGGAAUUACUGGGCGUAAAGGGCGUGUAGGCGGUGCGAUACGUAGCGGUUUUAAGCCUCCGGCUCACCCGGAGGAGGGCGGCUAAACGGUCGCACUGGAGGGCAGGAGAGGUGCGUGGAAUUCCUGGUGGAGCGGUGAAAUGCGUAGAGAUCAGGAAGAACACCAGUGGCGAAGGCGGCGCACUGGCCUGACCCUGACGCUGAGGCGCGACAGCGUGGGGAGCAAACGGGAUUAGAUACCCCGGUAGUCCACGCCGUAAACG